GUGUGUAGGAUCUAAGUGAAAACAAAUGCUAGUGUUUAAAAAAAAUAAAUUUUGAAGAGAGUCUGUUCACUUAUUUGUAUUUUCUGUGGCGAAAGUGAUACGUAAUAAAACCAAACCUCUCUUUCAGGUUCUCUGGAGUGCAUGGGGUUGAUGUAUUUAAUGGUUUUUUCUUUCAAUAAAAUAAAAUAUUCAUGCUAAAACAAAAACGAAAAACACAAUCUGUUAAGAACAGUUGAAAUUGGUUUAACGCAAUAUAUUCUUUCAAAGCACCAUCAACGAAUACACAAACAACAAUCUCUAAGCACUGAUAUAAGAGUAAUUGCACAUUACUCACUGUAAAAAUACUAUGAAUAUGUUCAAAGCAAAUUACACCUAGUAAACACAUAAUGUUUACCUUGUCAAUUUGCUUAUCAUGAACAAACUUUGCAUAUCGAGUCAUGGAUUUUGUCCACUUAUAUUAUACUUUAAAUCAACGAUGUGAAUGUAUAUCAAAGAACAUGAA
RNAcentral lists this long non-coding RNA (502 nucleotides) under Mytilus galloprovincialis (Mediterranean mussel). Lineage: Eukaryota; Metazoa; Mollusca; Bivalvia; Mytilida; Mytilidae. The record is from RNAcentral.